Long non-coding RNA from Homo sapiens (human), 596 nucleotides. Lineage: Eukaryota; Metazoa; Chordata; Mammalia; Primates; Hominidae. The record is from Ensembl.
ACACAACUUUCUUCCUCUACACACAUCUGCUCUGACAGCUUUCCUCCAGGCGUCUCAUCACAGCAAUACUGAAAGGGACUGUGGCAAGCCAGUUUUGGGACCCGUCCUCCAGGAUUCUGGGAAGAUGAGGUGGCCUACAGGACCAAGAGACCAAAGCUGUAUCGAGAACCAGAGUUCCCUCUGUUGCCAGUGUCAGUAAGGAAUUCCUCCAUGGGAGUUCCACACUUGAAUAGAGCUAGCUGAUCACAGAAGAGAAGGUCAGAGAGAUGCAUUCAGGCCGGCCUGGAAAAAAGCAAACAUUCAUAUUGGGAACUACCACUGGUGGCGACAUGUUACCGAACUGCAAGCAGUAUCUGGAAGCUAAGAGUCAUCCCUGGUCAACAACUAACAGGACAACAGGGACCUUAAUCCUACAGUUACAAGGACUGCCAACAAGUGACCUUGGAUAAAGACCCUAAGCCCCAGAUGAGAACUGAAACCCUGGCAACACCUUGAUUUCAGUGAGAUCCUAUACAGAGAAUCUAGCCACACUGUGGCCUGGACUUCUGACCUACAAUAACUAUGAGAUAAUAAAUGUGUUCUUUUUAGCCACUAAA